UACAGAGGGUGCGAGCGUUGUUCGGAAUUACUGGGCGUAAAGCGCGCGUAGGCGGCCCGGUAAGUCCGCUCUGAAAGUCCAGGGCUCAACCCUGGAAAGCGGGUGGAUACUGCCGGGCUAGAAUCCGGAAGAGGCGAGUGGAAUUCCUGGUGUAGCGGUGGAAUGCGCAGAUAUCAGGAAGAACACCGGUGGCGAAAGCGCUCUGCUAGGCCGCAACUGACACUGAGGGACGAAAGCUAGGGGAGCGAAUGGG
RNAcentral lists this ribosomal RNA (253 nucleotides) under uncultured bacterium. Its description in RNAcentral is "partial 16S ribosomal RNA". It matches the Rfam family "Bacterial small subunit ribosomal RNA", at positions 524 to 776 of the family's 1533-position model. The record is from RNAcentral.